UCACAUGUAAGAAAGUGUAAUUUUCUAGAAAAAAGACAUGUAUUUGUCAAAUUAUAAAUCAUAAACAUUAUAUUUUGAAAAGUAUCCCAAAAAUAUAUCUAUCUAAUUUUAAAAAUACAAAAGUUUUCUGAGAUGCAUACUAACUAUAAUAUGGAAAAAAAUAUUGAAAAAAAAAAGAAGAAAACAACAUUAGCAGUUUAAAUUUAGAGGGUACUAUGGACUAGUAUUUAUUUUCUAUAAAAUAUCGAACAUAUAGUUAAGGAGACUAAGUACAAAUUCACCUCUAUAAUAGAGAGAACGAUAAAAUGCUAUGUUUACGUUUAUAUAAAACUAGUUUAAGC
RNAcentral lists this long non-coding RNA (341 nucleotides) under Brassica rapa (field mustard). Its description in RNAcentral is "long non-coding RNA (BRAP_LNC006913)". Lineage: Eukaryota; Viridiplantae; Streptophyta; Magnoliopsida; Brassicales; Brassicaceae. The record is from RNAcentral.